Molecule: ribosomal RNA, 482 nt
Filed under: uncultured bacterium
Lineage: Bacteria
Description: bacterial SSU rRNA
Rfam family: Bacterial small subunit ribosomal RNA
Source: RNAcentral
UGGCUCAGGACGAACGCUGGCGGCGUGCCUAACACAUGCAAGUCGAGCGAGGAGAUUCCUUCGGGAUGAUCCUAGCGGCGGACGGGUGAGUAACACGUGGGCAACCUGCCUCAUAGAGAGGAAUAGCCUUCCGAAAGGGAGAUUAAUACCUCAUAACAUUGCAGUUUCGCAUGGAACAGCAAUUAAAGGAGCAAUCCGCUAUGAGAUGGGCCCGCGGCGCAUUAGCUAGUUGGUGAGGUAACGGCUCACCAAGGCGACGAUGCGUAGCCGACCUGAGAGGGUGAUCGGCCACAUUGGGACUGAGACACGGCCCAGACUCCUACGGGAGGCAGCAGUGGGGAAUAUUGCACAAUGGGGGAAACCCUGAUGCAAGCAACGCCGCGUGAGUGAUGACGGCCUUCGGGUUGUAAAGCUCUGUCUUCAGGGACGAUAAUGACGGUACCUGAGGAGGAAGCCACGGCUAACUACGUGCCAGCCGCAGC